GGAACGAAAUUGUAAAAAGAUAGAGUACCAAACAAUGUCGCAUCUAAAAAACGAAUAGAGUAAUCAUGCGCUCGCACAACGAAGUCAAAAAUCACAAAAGAAGUAUCAUAUGUAUGUGUAGAAAUUACUUUUGAGAUAAAAUGAGACAAAAAGUGACCCUAAGGGUGAUUCCGAGCUAAAACAAUGGUUUAAAACCAUCCAUAUUCGGUGAAUGAAAAAUGCAUAAAAUUGAAAUUAUAGAAGUAUAUGCUUCCAAGUUUGGUGUUGCUGAAAACAAAGAAGAUUGUGUAGGAUUUUACUAUAUCUUUAUCCUUGAUUGCACACUCUUGUUCUCUUACAAGAAUCAAUCAGACAGAGAUAAUUUCAUACAACCCAACAACAACAAGCAAUAGCAUAUACUAGAGUAAACUCUGCUUUUGUAUCCUUGUUUUGCUACUUGGAGGGUUUAAAAAAGAUUCAUCAAAUUGCACAC
Molecule: long non-coding RNA, 472 nt
Filed under: Medicago truncatula (barrel medic)
Lineage: Eukaryota; Viridiplantae; Streptophyta; Magnoliopsida; Fabales; Fabaceae
Description: long non-coding RNA (MTRU_LNC001017)
Source: RNAcentral